GAGGGUGACAGGUGGUGCAUGGUUGUCGUCAGCUCGUGUCGUGAGAUGUUGGGUUAAGUCCCGCAACGAGCGCAACCCUCGACCUUAGUUGCCAGCAUUCAGUUGGGCACUCUAAGGUGACUGCCGGCUAAAAAGUCGGAGGAAGGUGGGGAUGACGUCAAAUCAUCAUGCCCCUUAUGACCUGGGCUACACACGUGCUACAAUGGGCGGUACAAAGGGUCGCGAACCCGCGAGGGGGAGCCAAUCCCAAAAAGCCGCUCUCAGUUCGGAUUGCAGGCUGCAACUCGCCUGCAUGAAGCCGGAAUCGCUAGUAAUCGCGGAUCAGCAUGCCGCGGUGAAUACGUUCCCGGGCCUU
Molecule: ribosomal RNA, 355 nt
Filed under: uncultured Anoxybacillus sp.
Lineage: Bacteria; Bacillati; Bacillota; Bacilli; Caryophanales; Anoxybacillaceae
Description: bacterial SSU rRNA
Rfam family: Bacterial small subunit ribosomal RNA
Source: RNAcentral